UGUUUUUUUCUAUCUGGACCACCUACUGCCAUGGUUAUACUCUGGAUACAGUCACUGCUACUCUCUACCAUAAGCUCCUGCCUCUCCAGUCCCCUUCCAGUUCACCCAGCCUUUGUGACAUCUUAACAAACACCUUUCUAUUAAAGAUCUCCUCUUCUUUUUCACCCCUCUUUACCCAUCCUUUGUGAAACAUCAUGUUUCAGAACUAUAAUCACUCCCUGAAAACACUUUAACUGCUCUGUUCCUCUUUCUCUCCAUCCAACUGUCUACUUGUAUAAUCCUAAAUAAACCUUACUCUGGGCCUAAAUCCACAUAGCUAAACUCUUCUCCAGAAAUGGAAAAAAACAUGAAAGAACAAUGCUAAUUGGUUUUACCAUAUAACCAAAAAUAUCAAAUGGAAAGCACCAUUGCCAAUUGGCUCUUCUGAUUUCUCUAAAAAUUCUGUUUUUCUAUCUCUAAAAUGCUUAUUUCUCUAUUACCUUUUCCUCCAACUUAUAAUAACCUAUUCCAUUUUUCUGCAGAUGAUCUUGCCUUUCCUUCAUACCUCAUAUAGAAGCAAGAAACCACAUGGCAAGAAUUACCUACAUCAAUUUCCUAUAAUACUCUCAAUCCAGCUACAUUUGAAUCUAUGAACAAUGUGCUCUCUAUUAAAAUAGAAGAAAUGUCCUUACUUCUAUAUAGGCCACCAUUUUUGCUAUUUAAGAUCUGCAUUUCUCAAAUCAUAUCUAAUCUCUCCUAAAUCUUCAAGUUGUCUUUCAAAUAUAGCAUUACCAUCAGCAGAAACACAUUUAAUAUCACUCAUCUAAUACAAAACAAAGUGACCUUGACCUUACAUUUCCUUCCAGCUCAUAUCCCAUUUAGCUUCUCCUUUCACUAUAAAACUUUUGCAAAAAGUUACCUCCGAUUCUCUAUGAAGUCUACUUCAUUAUAGUUUCAUUCCAGUUUUUCUUCAUAUUUAUUAUAUAGGAAAGGAAACAAAUCUAAUUGUUAAGCUUGAACCUUAACCUCUUGGGCUCUGAUUCAUAUUCCAUGAUUUACUAUCAAUAAAUGCAAUAUAACUUCUCUGUAUCUUGGUUUCCUCAAGUAUAAAAUGAAAAUAAUCAAAGUAACUAUCUCAUAAGAUUAUUGUGAGGAUUAAAUAGCACAUAUGAAAGCAUAAGAAUACCAGGACUGUAGAAAUAAUUCAAUACAUGUUCACUAUUAUGUUCAACAAGAACCUUGUUUCAUCUUACCAAAUCCAAUAAUGAAGGCUCUUCCUUGUCUUAGUUCUCAAGAGGCAGUAGACAGAGUUCACAACUCACUUCUAUUCAUGGAUCCUGUGACAUCACACUCUAUUGGGUUUCUUCUACUCUACUGGUUGCUGAUUCAGGAUUUGAUGACUGUUUAACGUCUAAAACUUAGAAUAUUCAGCCCACCCUUCUUACUAUCUAAACUCUUCCUAGGUAUUCUGAUCAAGUUUCAUGUUUUUAAAUACCAUCUAUGUGCUGAUGUUGCUCAUAUUCAUUUCUCCAAUCCUGGCUUUCUUCUGAGCAUCAGACACAUAUAAUUAACUACCAUCUCCACUAGGAUAUUAAGUUGGUACUGAAAACCUAACAAAUCCAGAACUGAAUUCUUAAAGACCUCCCUCUUUCUUCAUCUUAGCCCAUAAAUCUGCUCUAUUAAUCUUUCUGUUUCUGUCAUAAUUAUCAUUAUUUACAUAGUUAUCAGGCCAAAUAACUAGAAGUCAUAUAUCUGAUUCUUCCUUCUUCUCAAACUGUUAUCCAAAUAAUAGCAGGCCUGUUUGCUUCAUCUCAAAAAUAUAACUCAAAUACAUCUCUACUUCUUAUUACUGCUGCCAUCUUAAUCCAAGUUAUCAUGAUCUCUUUGCUAGAUGAUAAAAAAAUCUUCUAAACAUUUCCCUCCUCCCAUUCUCCCCUCCUCCCAAUUAAGUAAUUUUCUUCAGAGCAGCCAAUGUAAUCUCAAAGAAUAAACCAGACCUUAUCAAUUCCCUGUUUAAAAUCUUCAGAGGCAAUUACAAUUAAAUCCAGGCACAGUGGUGGACAGCUAUAAUUCCAGCAUCAAGGGAGGCUGAGGCAGGAGAUCACAAGUUUGAGGCUAGCCUCUGCAAUUUAAUGAGGCCUAAGCAACUUAGUGAGACAAUGUCUCAAAAUAAAAAAAAAAGUAAAAAGGGCUAUGGAUGUGUCUUCGUAGUAAAGCACC
Molecule: long non-coding RNA, 2199 nt
Filed under: Marmota monax (woodchuck)
Lineage: Eukaryota; Metazoa; Chordata; Mammalia; Rodentia; Sciuridae
Source: RNAcentral